Non-coding RNA from Pteropus alecto (black flying fox), 119 nucleotides. The record is from Rfam. NCBI's taxonomy places the organism in Eukaryota, Metazoa, Chordata, Mammalia, Chiroptera, Pteropodidae.
GACUACCGCCAUGCCAUCCUAAACAAGUCCUAUCCCGUCUGAUCUCGGAAGCUAGGCAGGGUCCGACCUGGUUAGUACCUGGAUGGGAGGCCACCUAGGAAGACCAGGUGCUGUAGGUG